UACGGAGGGGGCAAGCGUUGUUCGGAAUUACCGGGCGUAAAGGGCGUGUCGGCUGCCUUUCAAGUUGGGGGUGAAAUCCCAGGGCUCAACCCUGGAAUUGCCUUCAAGACUGUGAGGCUUGGAUCCGAGAGAGGAGUGUGGAAUACCCAGUGUAGAGGUGAAAUUCGUAGAUAUUGGGUAGAACACCAGUGGCGAAGGCGGCACUCUGGCUCGGUAUCGACGCUGAGGCGCGAAAGCGUGGGGAGCAAAUAGG
RNAcentral lists this ribosomal RNA (253 nucleotides) under uncultured bacterium. Its description in RNAcentral is "partial 16S ribosomal RNA". It matches the Rfam family "Bacterial small subunit ribosomal RNA", at positions 524 to 776 of the family's 1533-position model. The record is from RNAcentral.